UACGUAGGGUGCGAGCGUUGUCCGGAAUUAUUGGGCGUAAAGAGCUCGUAGGCGGUCUGUCGCGUCGAUCGUGAAAACUUGGGGCUUAACCCUGAGCUUGCGGUCGAUACGGGCAUGACUGGAGUUCGGCAGGGGAGACUGGAAUUCCUGGUGUAGCGGUGAAAUGCGCAGAUAUCAGGAGGAACACCGGUGGCGAAGGCGGGUCUCUGGGCCGUAACUGACGCUGAGGAGUGAAAGCAUGGGGAGCGAACAGG
RNAcentral lists this ribosomal RNA (254 nucleotides) under uncultured bacterium. Its description in RNAcentral is "partial 16S ribosomal RNA". It matches the Rfam family "Bacterial small subunit ribosomal RNA", at positions 524 to 776 of the family's 1533-position model. The record is from RNAcentral.